This 1029-nucleotide ribosomal RNA is filed under the name Cladosporium halotolerans. RNAcentral describes it as "SSU rRNA". It matches the Rfam family "Eukaryotic small subunit ribosomal RNA", at positions 72 to 1108 of the family's 1831-position model. Lineage: Eukaryota; Fungi; Ascomycota; Dothideomycetes; Cladosporiales; Cladosporiaceae. The record is from RNAcentral.
CACUAUACGGUGAAACUGCGAAUGGCUCAUUAAAUCAGUUAUCGUUUAUUUGAUAGUACCUUACUACAUGGAUAACCGUGGUAAUUCUAGAGCUAAUACAUGCUAAAAACCCCGACUUCGGAAGGGGUGUAUUUAUUAGAUAAAAAACCAAUGCCCUUCGGGGCUCCUUGGUGAAUCAUAAUAACUUAACGAAUCGCAUGGCCUUGCGCCGGCGAUGGUUCAUUCAAAUUUCUGCCCUAUCAACUUUCGAUGGUAGGAUAGUGGCCUACCAUGGUAUCAACGGGUAACGGGGAAUUAGGGUUCGACUCCGGAGAGGGAGCCUGAGAAACGGCUACCACAUCCAAGGAAGGCAGCAGGCGCGCAAAUUACCCAAUCCCGACACGGGGAGGUAGUGACAAUAAAUACUGAUACAGGGCUCUUUUGGGUCUUGUAAUUGGAAUGAGUACAAUUUAAAUCCCUUAACGAGGAACAAUUGGAGGGCAAGUCUGGUGCCAGCAGCCGCGGUAAUUCCAGCUCCAAUAGCGUAUAUUAAAGUUGUUGCAGUUAAAAAGCUCGUAGUUGAACCUUGGGCCUGGCUGGCCGGUCCGCCUCACCGCGUGUACUGGUCCGGCCGGGCCUUUCCUUCUGGGGAACCUCAUGCCCUUCACUGGGCGUGCUGGGGAACCAGGACUUUUACUUUGAAAAAAUUAGAGUGUUCAAAGCAGGCCUUUGCUCGAAUACAUUAGCAUGGAAUAAUAGAAUAGGACGUGUGGUUCUAUUUUGUUGGUUUCUAGGACCGCCGUAAUGAUUAAUAGGGAUAGUCGGGGGCAUCAGUAUUCAAGCGUCAGAGGUGAAAUUCUUGGAUUGCUUGAAGACUAACUACUGCGAAAGCAUUUGCCAAGGAUGUUUUCAUUAAUCAGUGAACGAAAGUUAGGGGAUCGAAGACGAUCAGAUACCGUCGUAGUCUUAACCAUAAACUAUGCCGACUAGGGAUCGGACGGUGUUAGUAUUUUGACCCGUUCGGCACCUUACCGAGAAAUCAAAGUUUUU